Molecule: transfer RNA, 87 nt
Filed under: Pirellulaceae bacterium
Lineage: Bacteria; Pseudomonadati; Planctomycetota; Planctomycetia; Pirellulales; Pirellulaceae
Description: tRNA-Ser
Rfam family: tRNA
About the family: Transfer RNA (tRNA) molecules are approximately 80 nucleotides in length.
Source: RNAcentral
GGAGAGGUGGCUGAGUGGUCGAAAGCGCCGGUUUGCUAAACCGGUGGGUGGGAAACUGCCCCGCAGGUUCGAAUCCUGUCCUCUCCG